Molecule: ribosomal RNA, 334 nt
Filed under: uncultured eukaryote
Lineage: Eukaryota
Description: partial 18S ribosomal RNA
Rfam family: Eukaryotic small subunit ribosomal RNA
Source: RNAcentral
CCCUUAGAUGUCCGGGGCCGCACGCGCGCUACACUGAAGGAAUCAGCGUGGCUUUCUCCCUGACCCGAAAGGGUUGGGAAACCCGUUGAAUCUCCUUCGUGAUAGGGAUUGGGGCUUGAAAUUGUUCCCCAUGAACGAGGAAUUCCCAGUAAGCGCGAGUCAUAAGCUCGCGUUGAUUACGUCCCUGCCCUUUGUACACACCGCCCGUCACUACUACCGAUUGAACGGUUUAGUGAGGGCCUCGGAUUGGUCUCGGCCCGCUCUUUACCGGGCGGCGCCGUUGGUCGAGAAGACGCUCGAACUUGAUCGUUUAGAGGAAGUAAAAGUCGUAACA